RNAcentral lists this ribosomal RNA (497 nucleotides) under uncultured bacterium. RNAcentral describes it as "partial 16S ribosomal RNA". It matches the Rfam family "Bacterial small subunit ribosomal RNA", at positions 28 to 507 of the family's 1533-position model. The record is from RNAcentral.
GAUGAACGCUGGCGGCGUGCCUAAUACAUGCAAGUCUAGCGAACAGAUGAGGAGCUUGCUCCUCUGACGUUAGCGGCGGACGGGUGAGUAACACGUGGAUAACCUACCUAUAAGACUUGGAUAACUUCGGGAAACCGGAGCUAAUACCGGAUAAUAUAUUUAACCGCAUGGUUCAAUAGUGAAAAAAGGUUUUUCUGUCACUUAUAGAUUGAUCCGCGCCGCAUUAGCUAGUUGGUAAGGUAACGGCUUACCAAGGCAACGAGGCGUAGCCGACCUGAGAGGGUGAUCGGCCACACUGGAACUGAGACACGGUCCAGACUCCUACGGGAGGCAGCAGUAGGGAAUCUUCCGCAAUGGGCGAAAGCCUGACGGAGCAACGCCGCGUGAGUGAUGAAGGUCUUCGGAUCGUAAAACUCUGUUAUUAGGGAAGAACAAAUGUGUAAGUAACUAUGCACGUCUUGACGGUACCUAAUCAGAAAGCCACGGCUAACUACGUG